This 253-nucleotide ribosomal RNA is filed under the name uncultured bacterium. Its description in RNAcentral is "partial 16S ribosomal RNA". It matches the Rfam family "Bacterial small subunit ribosomal RNA", at positions 524 to 776 of the family's 1533-position model. The record is from RNAcentral. RNAcentral also lists the same sequence under 2 other names.
UACGGAGGGAGCUAGCGUUGUUCGGAAUUACUGGGCGUAAAGCGCACGUAGGCGGCUUUUUAAGUCAGGGGUGAAAUCCCGGGGCUCAACCCCGGAACUGCCCUUGAAACUGGAGAGCUAGAAUCUUGGAGAGGCGAGUGGAAUUCCGAGUGUAGAGGUGAAAUUCGUAGAUAUUCGGAAGAACACCAGUGGCGAAGGCGACUCGCUGGACAAGUAUUGACGCUGAGGUGCGAAAGCGUGGGGAGCAAACAGG